This 291-nucleotide ribosomal RNA is filed under the name uncultured Sphingobacteriales bacterium. RNAcentral's name for it is "partial 16S ribosomal RNA". It matches the Rfam family "Bacterial small subunit ribosomal RNA", at positions 1090 to 1382 of the family's 1533-position model. The record is from RNAcentral. Lineage: Bacteria; Pseudomonadati; Bacteroidota; Sphingobacteriia; Sphingobacteriales.
UAACGAGCGCAACCCUACCUUUAGCUGCCAUCAGGUAAUGCUGGGGACUCUAAAGGAACUGCUACGCAAGUAGUGAGGAAGGCGGGGAUGACGUCAAAUCAGCACGGCCCUUACGUCCAGGGCUACACACGUGCUACAAUGGCCGAUACAGAGGGCAGCUACCUGGUGACAGGAUGCAAAUCUCCAAAGUCGGUCUCAGUUCGGAUCGGAGUCUGCAACCCGACUCCGUGAAGUUGGAUUCGCUAGUAAUCGCGCAUCAGCCAUGGCGCGGUGAAUACGUUCCCGGGCCUU